RNAcentral lists this unclassified non-coding RNA (2167 nucleotides) under Chelonus insularis. RNAcentral's name for it is "uncharacterized LOC118066620, transcript variant X1". Lineage: Eukaryota; Metazoa; Arthropoda; Insecta; Hymenoptera; Braconidae. The record is from RNAcentral.
GAGAGAAAGUUAUUCUUAAAAAUUUCCAAUUGUUCUAACUUAAAUUUUAUGGUGUCGUGAUAAACAAAUUUGAAUAGUUAAAAUAAAUAUUCAAAAUUAUAAAAGAUUUUUUAAACAAUUAAAGGAAUACUACUUAUUGUUUUAAAUCGUCUGACUUUUGCAUAUUCUUAUGGGUGGGUGUGUUUUUUUUUUAGUGACUGGUAGAUUGAGUUUGUGAAAAUUUUAUUGAUAUUUAACAUCAUGUGAAUUUAUUUUUAUUUGUUUAAUAUGCAUAUCAAGUCUUCAAGAAAGCAAGGAUUAUUGAGUAAUCUUUAUAUUCUAUGUGUUACACGGAUUAUUAAAAAUGUCGAAAGAUCAGUAAAUAUUCUUUUAAAAUUAUGUUUAACAUAUCGAAGAGAAAAAACAAGUUUUACAUGGUAUUUAUAUAGAGUGCACAUUUGUUAAUUAAAACUUUUAAUUAAUAAAAUAAUAUUUAUGAGUUUCUACAUACGUUAAAAAGUUUCUUUUCUUAAUUAUUAUGCAAUAAAAUAAUUCAAAAUGAAGAAAAAGUACAUUUCCUUGCUAUUUAUGAUCAUACAAUUUUGUAAAGCUGAUGUUGAUGAGUGCACCUAUCAAUAUAAAUAUUCGUGUGAUAAAAAUGAAAAUUUGCGACUGUUAAAUGACACAAAUCCACUCAAUUGCAGCCUUGAUAACAUCUUAGAAAAUGCAGAGUAUACCUUGAUAUUAUCUAAGGAUGGAUUAACUCCAACCGGGAUUUUGAGAAUUAAUUCAUUUCUUCCAACUGUCAAUUGCCAAUACAAAGUAGCUCUUUUAGUUAAUGAAUCAGUCAAGACGGAUGAAGAGUGUAAACAACAUAAUUUUGAUAAUCACAAUGAGAAUGAAAUUCAUUCAUUAGACCAAACUAUUUGUAUAUCCGCAUUUGAUAACUCUACAAUCAUUGAGCAUGAGUCAAUAGAUUGCAAAGAAAACAAUAUUUAUAUAUACUUCAAGCAUAUUUUCACUGGUUGUUAUGCUCUUCGUUAUAAAAUUGAUCAUAAUUAUGUGAUACGUUCAAGACAAUAUAUUUCUACGACUUAUCAAAGAAGGGAAGUAGAAGAACCAACUUUCCGCUGCAAUUAUGAUAACAGGCCAAUAAAUAAUCAGAGUAGGAAUCUGGUGACGUUUACCUUCGGCAUUUCAGUACUUCCUGGUUCUACAAGUAUGAGUUUAGAAUUAACUCCAUUAUCUUCUGAAGAUGAAAAUAAAGAAGAUGCGUGUGUAGAAUAUAGUAAGGCUCCUCAAUAUGCUUGGGAAAUUAGUCUGAGUGGCUCGAAUACUCAGUUAGAACCAUUAAAAAGUUGUAAAGUUACGAUGGUAAACAUUGUUAAUGAAACGAGUACAGAGGAUGUCGAGUGCAGUUUUUCGCUUCCAGUAUCAUAUGAUGAAAGUUAUUGUUUUCUUAUUACUCUCCAUGAUAGCCGGUGUUUAAGACAUACCACUUGGAAUCCACCACCAAAGAAUAAAUCUACUGUUCCAUGCACUUGGAUACCAAAAUGUACAAAAGUCAAUAUAACCUCAGGAAUUGAAUAUCCUGGAGAUGUCGAAGGUAACUCACCAGUUGUAUCUGCUGAUCUCUCUUCACUCCUCCCCAUAGCUGCUGGUAUUAUUAUUGUGACUGUGGUAAUUGGAAUGUCUAUGGUAUAUCUCUAUCGUUCACGCGUAAGAAUACUUCGAGAGGAUUUUGCAUUAAACGCUACGUUAAGAAAUUUAAAAGAUGGAGAUCAUAUCGAACUAGAUGCUAUUGAUACUGAUGAAGAACAUACUAGAGCUAUCGUGCUUCUUUAUGCUAGAGGCUCCAAACCUUUUAUGAGUUUCAUGUUACAUUUUAGAGAAAUUUUAGAAUGUUACUGUGGAUGUCAUGUAUUUGAUUGGUACGCAGCAUGUGAAUGGGAUGCAGUAGCCAGAGUUGGAGCUUGUGAAUGGGCUGAUUCUUUAAUUAAAAGCAAUCACCGUAUAGUAUGGAUCGAUACUCCAACUGCAAGAUCUCUAAUUUAGCAUUUCCUUCUGUGUUGGAAUUUGCUAAACGGAGUAUCAUCAAUAUUAAAUCACAGUAUGACAAACAUUUCAUUGUUAGAAUAGAAGGAUUUAAUCAUGAUAAUUCAAGUGAAGAUAUAUUUGCAAAUCUUUC